AGAGUCUGCUCUUCUAGACAGUUUUUUUGCUGAUAAAAUCAAAGGGGCGGUUCAUGUGAACCGCCCCUUUUGUUUGGCCGU
RNAcentral lists this small RNA (81 nucleotides) under Dehalococcoides mccartyi GY50. Its description in RNAcentral is "suhB". The record is from RNAcentral. Lineage: Bacteria; Bacillati; Chloroflexota; Dehalococcoidia; Dehalococcoidales; Dehalococcoidaceae.